Bombyx mori (domestic silkworm) is the source of this 862-nucleotide RNA transcript. RefSeq lists it as uncharacterized. The transcript has 2 exons. NCBI's taxonomy places the organism in Eukaryota, Metazoa, Arthropoda, Insecta, Lepidoptera, Bombycidae. The record is from RefSeq and is a predicted model, not a curated record.
UACCAAUUUCGACCGCGAACCAGUAAUGCAUUCCGGCUUGAAGAACAGCUCUUGACGGUGGAUGGCGACAUUUACGUAGUAACGUCUAUACACUCCGGUAACAAAUUAUCCUCAAUUCGGCCGUGACCAUCAAUCGAAGUAAUAAAAUAAAGUACUUAAUUAGUAUGUAUGUAAAUCAAAGAAUGUCGUUUUGGUAUCUUCAAAGAUGAUCUCUCAAAUAUUUGGCUUCAAUAGUUUAUAAUAGAUAAUGAAUGUCUUAGUAGAAAACGAAAAAAAUAAUAAUAACAAUGCUAAUAAAAUAAUUUCAAUGCAAAAAACACCGAGACUGGUUCACGAGGCCUGAUGCAGGUUUACAAUAUAAAUAGUACAUUCUCUCAGAUACCGUGUAUCCCUCGUAUGUUACGCACGUGUGCAAUAUGAACAAAAUAAUAUUCAUCGCUUUAACUAUAUGUAUUUACGAAGUUUAUUCGUAUGAUUACGUUAAUAAAUAUGAUGAAAACAAUGGUGAUAAGAAAGAUUCUGAAUCUGAAGAUUAUUGGGGUGAUCCGGAAAAUUUAGAAAAGCCAUCGUACAACUUAAACGAAGCCCCGGAACUGUUCAAGAAAUUUAUUACGGACUACCAGAGGCAGUACAAAGAUGAGUCCGAAUACAAUCUGCGUUACACUUACUUCGUGCAGAACUUGAAGGACAUUAUUGAACUGAACGCUAAAAACAAACAUUCCUCAUCUGAUAUAAACAUGUUCGCGGACUACUCGCCUUCUGAAUUGGCGUCGCUCGGAUAAAGAUUGACAAGAUUCGAACGCUGACACCGCAGUGAAGAAAGGCCCAGUGAAAUUAAUUAAAUACAUCAUUAAAAAUAAAA